This 253-nucleotide ribosomal RNA is filed under the name uncultured bacterium. RNAcentral's name for it is "partial 16S ribosomal RNA". It matches the Rfam family "Bacterial small subunit ribosomal RNA", at positions 524 to 776 of the family's 1533-position model. The record is from RNAcentral.
UACGUAGGGGGCAAGCGUUGUCCGGAUUUACUGGGCGUAAAGAGCGUGUAGGCGGCCAAGCAGGUCCGUUGUGAAAACUGGAGGCUUAACCUCCAGACGUCGACGGAAACCGCGUGGCUAGAGUCCGGAAGAGGAGAGUGGAAUUCCUGGUGUAGCGGUGAAAUGCGCGGAUAUCAGGAAGAACACCAAUGGCGAAGGCAGCUCUCUGGGACGGUACUGACGCUGAGACGCGAAAGCGUGGGGAGCGAACAGG